GAGGGUAUAGCUCAGUGGUAGAGUACAUGCCUAGCAUGCACAAGGUCCUAGGUUCAAUCCCCACUAUCUCCA
RNAcentral lists this transfer RNA (72 nucleotides) under Camelus bactrianus (Bactrian camel). It matches the Rfam family "tRNA". From Rfam's summary of the family: Transfer RNA (tRNA) molecules are approximately 80 nucleotides in length. Lineage: Eukaryota; Metazoa; Chordata; Mammalia; Artiodactyla; Camelidae. The record is from Rfam by way of RNAcentral. RNAcentral also lists the same sequence under 1 other name.